UGAGGCAGGAGAAUUGCUUGAACCCAGGAGGUGGAGGUUACAGUGAGCCGAGAUCGUGCCACUGUACUCCAGCCUGGGCGACAGAUCAAGACUCCAUCUC
This 100-nucleotide microRNA precursor is filed under the name Pan troglodytes (chimpanzee). Its description in RNAcentral is "miRNA (ENSPTRG00000044601.1)". Lineage: Eukaryota; Metazoa; Chordata; Mammalia; Primates; Hominidae. The record is from RNAcentral.